GCGUGGCUGCAGGAGAGGGGUGCUGCAUUGGAGUGCAAGGCAAGGCUUUCGGAAAGCAGAGAAGGGAAGGAGGGUGACAGCCAGGUGCAGGCUGAGAGGAGGACAGGCACAGCAGGAUGCACAGAAGCCCACAAGCAGGAUGGAGCCUGUGCUCUCCAGGAACCAAAGCAGGCCAGCCGGCCUGGAGCUGAGAUACAGCCAUGCCAUAAGCGAGCCUCCUCUGCCAUGCCACCCUGCCUUGGAGCCAGCUGACUAUGGACUGAAACCUCUACAAACUGGUCUUGCUAUGUAGCCCAGACUGGUGUCAAACUUUCAAUCCUCCUGCCUCGGACACCCAAGAGGUGGCAUCACACGUGUGCACCACCAUACCUGGCUUAAACCAAGGCUCUUUCUGCAACACUUUACCAUGAUGCCAGCUGUCACGUGGUGCACCUGUCUGUCCCACACGAUCUCCACCACAGAGGCCCAGCCACCUGCUCCCCACUAGGGACAGACGCUCUGCUUCAAGGCUGAUCCAGGGCUUUCCUGCAGCUCUAGAGAUCUUGAUGCCAAUGUCAGUGGGAAUCAAUUGAGCCCCAAGGGUAAUUUGCCUUCCUAAAAAGCAUUCUGCCCCUUCCAGAUAUAAAAGCAAAAUCAACUCUAGACCCAGAAUCCAGGCAUCAUGUCUUGCCACCCUCACUAUGCAGGAAAACAUUCAGUGUUGGUUAUGCAUUUGUACCUUUGAACCAUAGAUUUCUAGACUUUUUGGUGGGAUUUUUGGGGAGGGGGGUUCACACAGCUAUGUCCCCAGCCCUUUAAAAAUUAAACAAAACAAAUUUUUUUUUCUUGGAGACAAGGUCUUUCUAAGUAACUAAAUUGCCCAGGCUAGACUUGAACUUGCGAUCCUCCUGCCUCAGCCGCCCAGAGUGCUGGGAUUAUAGGUGUGCACUACCACACUUGGCUAGCUUUUCAGUUGUGAGUAAUACCACCCUCACAAGACUCCUAUAAGUACUAAAGAAUGAGAAUGUGCCGUGCAAAUAAAGGGCAUCAA
Heterocephalus glaber (naked mole-rat) is the source of this 1030-nucleotide non-coding RNA. The record is from RefSeq and is a predicted model, not a curated record. Lineage: Eukaryota; Metazoa; Chordata; Mammalia; Rodentia; Bathyergidae.